GACGAACGCUGGCGGCGUGCUUAACACAUGCAAGUCGAACGGAAAGGCCUGCUUUCCCUUGUGGAUUGCGGGUACUCGAGUGGCGAACGGGUGAGUAACACGUGAGUGAUCUGCCCCCAACUUGGGUAUAAGCCUGGGAAACUGGGUCUAAUUCCCGAUAGGACUGCAGGGUGGUGCCUGUGGUGGAAAACGAUUUUCUAGUGGAUGGGGAUGAGCUCGCGGCCUAUCAGCUUGUUGGUGGGGUAAUGGCCUACCAAGGCGGCGACGGGUAGCCGGCCUGAGAGGGUGGACGGCCACAUUGGGACUGAGAUACGGCCCAGACUCCUACGGGAGGCAGCAGUGGGGAAUAUUGCACAAUGGGCGGAAGCCUGAUGCAGCGACGCCGAGUGGGGGAUGACGGCCUUCGGGUUGUAAACUCCUUUCGACAGCGAGGAAGCCACCUGGUUGGAAGGGUGGUGACGGUAGUGGUAGAAGAAGCACCGGCUAACUACGUG
RNAcentral lists this ribosomal RNA (494 nucleotides) under uncultured bacterium. Its description in RNAcentral is "partial 16S ribosomal RNA". It matches the Rfam family "Bacterial small subunit ribosomal RNA", at positions 28 to 507 of the family's 1533-position model. The record is from RNAcentral.